UGCUUUUUGCUAUCAAUACAAUCGGUAUCUGCAGUUGCUCAGAUAGUAAAGACUUCUAUCCACCCUGCGUAAGGUGAUGAAGUGGUGAUAUUAGAGUUUGAGAUGGAAACAAUUACUGUGCCUAGAGCAAAAGAAAGACUUGGGAAUGACAAAUAAUCGGAAAGGGAGAAAAUUAAGAUAUUUCAGCAGUGUGAAUGUACCGAUAGCAACAAGAAUGUCUGAAGUUAAUAAACAAUGCUACACUACAAAUAUCUUAUACAGAGGACAAGAAAAUGCAAAUGAACUUUGGGGAUUUGCUUUGAGGGAAUUCUGCAGUCUGCAGGCCGCCUUCUCACAGUAUAUGACACAAAGCCUCAAUAGUUGUCAACCACCUCCU
This is a long non-coding RNA of Dromaius novaehollandiae (emu), 376 nucleotides long. RefSeq lists it as uncharacterized. NCBI's taxonomy places the organism in Eukaryota, Metazoa, Chordata, Aves, Casuariiformes, Dromaiidae. The transcript has 4 exons. The record is from RefSeq and is a predicted model, not a curated record.